Scleropages formosus (Asian bonytongue) is the source of this 1653-nucleotide long non-coding RNA. RefSeq lists it as uncharacterized. Lineage: Eukaryota; Metazoa; Chordata; Actinopteri; Osteoglossiformes; Osteoglossidae. The transcript is spliced from 2 exons. The record is from RefSeq and is a predicted model, not a curated record.
UCUCGGUAGGAAAUUCCUUUUCCGCGGAACAUCAUCAUGUCAUGUUGGGCCAGUGGAGCACCGCCCCCCGCAGCCCAGGGUACCAUCGUGUUUUGUCUAGGUGUGAAAAAGGGCUUCCCCAAUCGGCCUAGUCCCGAACACUGAGCGGCUCAUCGCACUGCUUGGAGGACUUCGCUUGGGUGCUCUAUUCGUUCUCUAGUCCUCACUGCAGCUCUACACAUGCCUCACACAUGCCUCCGUACACUCGUCACCCCCCCCCCGCGGUGCGCGCACUCCCGGUCCUCGAGCCGCGGGGACCGCGCGGUGUGAAGACACCCUGCUUAUCGUGCGGGCACGUGAUCCAGCGCGAGCCGGGCAUUUUUAGGGUGCACGGCUUACUUUGUGUUUGAGCUCUCGUGUUCUGCCAUCAUCAUCACCACCCCCCACAAGUGCUGCCCGCUCCGCCUCCUCUUUUCGCAACAUUGACGCAAUGUAUAAAUACUGGAACAAAAGGACAACUUCCUCGAAGCUUGCCGAAACUGCAUUUAAAACAAAAAAAAUAAAAAAAACAAUUACAGUGAACCGAGAGCGUUUGGCGCAUAAUGUGGCCGUUUGUAAAUGGGAUUGAAUAGUGACGUUCCGGUCGGUGGAAGGGAAGCCCCUUUUCGGCUCUUCACCGGCGCUCAAAUGGCAUGAAGUCCAGGGGAUGGUGUGGUUAUUUGCAGUCCUGCGGUGCUGUAGCAGCACAGAAUGGUUUGUGGGUUACACAGGGGUGCAGACCAUGCUGUGCUGCCGCAGUAACGUCUGGACAGUGACUCCACUAGCAGCAGGGAGAAAGGUAUGUAAGGUUGAGUGGAGAGGCUAAGCACAGAUGCUCAGUGCCACACCCCCCCAACCCCCAUUGGCUGCCAUGCUGUAGCAGCACGUAAAUAUUGGAGUUAAAACACUGCUGGAUGCCUCCAGUAUUGAUCGUGCUGCUGGAGUAAAGCUGGCCGUUGUUGCUGGUUGUCAUUGGUUGUCAGUCUGUCCUGUUGUGGAUAUACAGGUCAUCAGACCUCAGUGGGUGCUCAAAAGGCAGAUGCGGAAACCAGAACCCUUCCUGAAAUGCAUUAUCGACACAGGAAUUCAGCUUUUCUUGUUUAUCAGUGGCAUUUAAAAGCUUUGUUUCUCAAUUAUAUUGUGAUAUUUAACCAAUGUGUAAGAAAUAUAACAAUCACAGAUUAAUUAUAUUUCAUGUACAUAUCAAAUUGAAUAUUCUCAUGUUUAAUGAUUUUUUUGCAUUAUAAACAGUUAUUUUGAUAGUGUAGCAAUGUAAUGUUUUUGGCUGUAUUUUGUUUUUCCAUCCACUUAAACUGGCUUAUGGCAUUAAUCUCUUUACAGCUGUAAAGUUUUAACUUGCUGCUGAAUAGUUACUGUUCUAUUUGUUGUGUCAAAAUAUUUAAGGCAGAAAAUACUAUUAUGCUGAAUGUGCAGAGCUGAACAAAGAUUUUUGGUUUUCUGUUACUAACAUAUACUGACAUUUUGUAUACAUAAUAUUCAUUAUUUUUCUCCAACAAAGUACUCUUCAUUUAUCGAAAUUCAAACAGUUGAUGUGUUUAAAGGAAAUGUCCAGUAUACAAGGAAUGUGAGAUGUACACCUAGUGACUUUGAAUAUUAAAAUUGAUCUUGAACUUU